CACGUAGGGUGCGAGCGUUGUCCGGAAUUAUUGGGCGUAAAGAGCUCGUAGGCGGUUUGUCGCGUCGGGAGUGAAAAACGCCGUGCUUAACACGGCGCUUGCUUUCGAUACAGGCAGACUAGAGGUAUGCAGGGGAGAACGGAAUUCCUGGUGUAGCGGUGAAAAUGCGCAGAUAUCAGGAGGAACACCGGUGGCGAAGGCGGUUCUCUGGGCAUUACCUGACGCUGAGGAGCGAAAGUGUGGGGAGCGAACAGG
This 255-nucleotide ribosomal RNA is filed under the name uncultured bacterium. RNAcentral's name for it is "partial 16S ribosomal RNA". It matches the Rfam family "Bacterial small subunit ribosomal RNA", at positions 524 to 776 of the family's 1533-position model. The record is from RNAcentral.